GAGGAAUAUUGGUCAAUGGGCGGAAGCCUGAACCAGCCAAGUAGCGUGCAGGAUGACGGCCCUAUGGGUUGUAAACUGCUUUUAUGCGGGGAUAAAGGGGCCCACGUGUGGGUUUUUGCAGGUACCGCAUGAAUAAGGACCGGCUAAUUCCGUGCCAGCAGCCGCGGUAAUACGGAAGGUCCGGGCGUUAUCCGGAUUUAUUGGGUUUAAAGGGAGCGUAGGCCGCCCCUUAAGCGUGUUGUGAAAUGCGGGUGCUCAACAUCCGACUUGCAGCGCGAACUGGGGGGCUUGAGUGCGCCGAAAGUAGGCGGAAUUCGUGGUGUAGCGGUGAAAUGCUUAGAUAUCACGAAGAACUCCGAUUGCGAAGGCAGCUUACUGUAGCGCAACUGACGCUGAUGCUCGAAAGCGUGGGUAUCGAACAGGAUUAGAUACCCUGGUAGUCCACGCGGUAAACGAUGGAUGCUCGUUGUCGGCCUUUGAGGCCGGUGACCAAGCGAAAGCGUUAAGCAUCCCACCUGGGGAGUACGCCGGCAACGGUG
This 539-nucleotide ribosomal RNA is filed under the name uncultured bacterium. RNAcentral describes it as "bacterial SSU rRNA". It matches the Rfam family "Bacterial small subunit ribosomal RNA", at positions 356 to 896 of the family's 1533-position model. The record is from RNAcentral.